CUUGGCCCGGAGCGCUCUUGAUCACGCCGCGGCGGGUGGUGGCGCUCACACUAACUAUAGCUAUCCAGGGCGCGGGUCGAGUGGCGAGACCAGCUCCCCUGGGUAUGAGAACGCAUCUUUGUGCGGUCGGCUGGCUGGGGCCUGAAGAGCUUCCUCCUGUGUGUUCAACUGAACGCAGCAAAAGUCUUGGGCAGAUUCCAUGGAGCAGCUGUGGAAGCACUGUGCAGGGAAUCGAAGAAGGAAACACCUCCAGCGACCACAAAACAAAAUUGAAGAACUAUAAAACAAUAUAGGCCGGGCAUGGUGGCUCACGUGAGUGAGGGGAUGGAUGGCUCCGCGGACUGGCCCCCGCCCCAGGAGAAAGAGUGCGUGGCCGUGGCAACGCUGAAUCUUCCCCGACUUCAGGUCUGGGCAGCGUCUUCCUGAACAGCCUGAAGCAGAAGGUGGUGACCCUGGCAAGCAGCGCAGACGUGCUGAGCACCGUGCAGUCGGCCUCCCAGGCCAUGCUGCAGAGCGGCUGGUCCAUGCUGUUGCCCACCGCUGAGAAGCAGGCCCGGGCACUCUGCUCUCCUGUCCUGCGGAGUUUCAGGCAAUGAAGUGAGCAUAAGUCCAGGUCAUCGAUUGGUGAUUGAUCUUCUGGUGGGCAGCUUGAUGGCUGAUGGAGGGUUGGAGUCAGCCUUACACGCAGCCAUUACUGCAGAGAUCCAGGAUACAAAAAAAGAAGCACGGAAGGAAAAAGAAAUUUAUGAACAGGAAGCAAAUGCCUCAACAUUUCAUAGAAGGAGGACUCCAUUGGAUAAAGGCCUUAUUAAUACGGGGAUCUGUGAGUCUUCUGGCAAACAGUGUUUGCCUCUGGUUCAGCUCAUACAACAGCUUCUUAGGUAAAUCAUAUUAGCUGUAUUGUAUUGUGUUUUAUUUAUUUACUUUUUUGUUUUUUGAGACAGAGUUUCGCUCUUGUUGCCCAGGCCGGAGUGCAGUGGUGCGAUCUUGACUCACUGCAACCUCCGCCUCCCAGGUUCAAGUAAUUCCUCUGCCUCAGCCUCUCGAGCAGCUGGGAUUACAGGCAUGCGCCACCAUGCCCCACUAAUUUUGUAGUUUUGUUAGAGACAGGGUUUCUUCAUGUUGGUCAGGCCGGUCUUGAACUCCCGACCUCAGGUGGUCCAUCCACUUUGGCCUCCCAAAAUGUUGGGAUUACAGGCAUUAGCCACCACGCCUGGCCUAUUUAUUUACUUAUUAAUGGUGUUUUUUUUUUGUUUUUUUUUUUUUUGAGAUGGAGUCUUGCUCUAUCGUCCAGGCUGGAGUGCAGUGUCACGAUCUUGGCUCACUGCAACCCCCGCCUCCUGGGUUCAAGCUAUUCUCCUGCCUCAGCCUCCCGAGUAGCUGGGACUACAGGCGUCUGCAACCACACCUGGCUGAUUUUUGUAUUUUUAGUAGAGAUGGGGUUUUACCAUAUUGGUCAGGCUGGUCUCAAAUUCCUGACGUCAGGUGACCCACCUGCCUUGGCCUCUCAAAAUGUUGGGAUUACAGGUGUUAGCCACUGUGCCUGGCCUGUAUUGUAUUUUAAUAGGUGAUUAUUGGUUUUCAUAUUAAGAUAGUGAAAUCUAGCGCAAGGAUCUCAAAAAUUUGUUUGAUGAUUGAAGGAAUAUUCUGAAAAUUACCUAGUAUAGAUGUUAGGAUAAAGAGCAGACCCUUUUCAAUAUAGGUGAGAGGAGAAGUUGGAGGGUGUGAUGAUACUCAAAAGUUUUUCACUGAAGAGAAAUUGGGGCGUGCAGUAAACAUGUAAAAAGAUUCUUACUAAUAAGCAGGUGGAUGCAAAUGAAAAUCAUCAUGGAAGGUUAUUUUUAAAACUGGUUCUAUCAUUGCCUCACUUUAUAUAUUACAGAGUUAUACAUACUACUUUGUAAGAUAACUUUUCUUUUCAAAACUGAAGUCAAUGUGAUAGAAUGGUGAGCAUUAUUUUGGAAGGCCAGACUAGGAGGAGGUGGGAGGAAGAAGUCAGACUCAGCCUGUGAACAGACGCUAACCUUGGCAGAAGCCAAAACAGUCAGACAGUGUUGUCUAAAAAUGAUCAUUCAAGAAGAGCGAAACAGCAAGGUGAUUUGUGAAAGAGAUUUAUUAGAAAAUGAAACACAUUUAUACCUCUGUUCAAUAAAAAUCUGCUUUUCGUCAACUGAUGCUCCUGGUUUUUGUUUCUACACAUAGAGAAAGCAGAGCCCUGGCAGCUUGGGUCAGGC
Molecule: long non-coding RNA, 2234 nt
Filed under: Homo sapiens (human)
Lineage: Eukaryota; Metazoa; Chordata; Mammalia; Primates; Hominidae
Description: HSALNT0379810
Source: RNAcentral